UACAGAGGCCUCGAGCGUUGUUCGGAAUUACUGGGCGUAAAGGGAAUGUAGGUGGUCGGGUAAGUCAGAUGUGAAAGCCCUGGGCUUAACCUGGGAAGUGCAUUUGAUACUGCUCGGCUUGAGUGCGAGAGAGGAAAGCGGAAUUCCUGGUGUAGGAGUGAAAUUCGUAGAUAUCAGGAGGAAUACCGAUGGCGAAGGCAGCUUUCUGGCUCGUAACUGACACUGAGGCGCGAAAGCGUGGGGAGCGAACAGG
RNAcentral lists this ribosomal RNA (253 nucleotides) under uncultured bacterium. RNAcentral describes it as "partial 16S ribosomal RNA". It matches the Rfam family "Bacterial small subunit ribosomal RNA", at positions 524 to 776 of the family's 1533-position model. The record is from RNAcentral.